AACGAACGCUGGCGGCGUGGAUAAGACAUGCAAGUCGAGCGAAGUAUGAGGGGUAGCAAUAUUCCUUAUACUUAGCGGCGAAAGGGUGCGUAACACGUAGAUCAUCUGCCUCCAAGUGUGGGAUAGCCCGACGAAAGCCGGAUUAAUACCGCAUGUGGUCGUGAGAUUAAAGCCGGGGACCGUAAGGCCUGGCGCUUGGAGAUGAGUCUGCGGCCUAUCAGCUUGUUGGCGGGGUAACGGCCCACCAAGGCUAAGACGGGUAGCUGGUCUGAGAGGACGACCAGCCACACUGGAACUGAGACACGGUCCAGACACCUACGGGUGGCAGCAGUCGAGGUAUUUUUCUCAAUGGGCGAAAGCCUGAAGGAGCGACGCCGCGUGGGGAUGAAGGUCUUCGGAUUCGUAAACCCCUGUCACUUGGGAACAAUUGAUCACCAACACGUGAUCCAUUGAUAGUACCAGGAGAGGAAGCAGUGGCUAACUCU
This 485-nucleotide ribosomal RNA is filed under the name uncultured bacterium. RNAcentral describes it as "bacterial SSU rRNA". It matches the Rfam family "Bacterial small subunit ribosomal RNA", at positions 29 to 504 of the family's 1533-position model. The record is from RNAcentral.